CGGGCCCUGCACUCGGAGCAUCUGGCCAGCCCUGCUGGCUCCGGGCAAUGAGGGACUUAGGACCCGGGCCAGUGGCUGUGGAGGGUGUACUGAGUCCCCCACCAGUGCCAGCCGACCGGCGCUGUGCUCGAUUUCUCACCGAGCCUUAGCUGCCUUCCCGCGGGGCAGGGCUUGGGACCUGCAGCCCGCCAUGCCUGAGCCUCCCACCCACUCCAAGGGCUCCUGUGUGGCCCGAGCCUCCCCGACAAGCACCACCCCCUGCUCCAUGGCGCCCAGUCCCAUCGACCACCCAAGGGCUGAGGAAUGCGAGCGCACGGCGUGGGACUGGCAGGCAGCUCCACCUGCAGCCCUGGUGCGGGAUCCACUAGGUGAAGCCAGCUGGGCUCCUGAGUCUGGUGGGGACGUGGAAAGUCUUUAUAUCUAGCUCAGGGAUUGUAAACACACCAAUCAGCACCCUGUGUCUAGCUCAAGGUUUGUGAGUGCACCAAUCGACACUCUGUAUCUAGCUGCUCUGGUGGGGCCUUGGAGAACCUUUAUGUCUAGCUCAGGGAUUGUAAAUACACCAGUCAGCACCCUGUGUUUAGCUCAAGGUUUGUGAGUGCACCAAUCGACACUCUGUAGCUAGCUGCUCUGGUGGGGAUGUGGAGAACCUUUAUGUCUAGCUCAGGGAUUGUAAAUACACCAAUGGGCACUCUGUAUCUAGCUCAAGGUUUGUAAACACACCAAUCAGCACCCUGUGUUUAGCUCAAGGUUUAUGAGUGCACCAAUCGACACUCUGUAUCUAGCUGCUCUGGUGGGGCCUUGGAGAACCUGUGUUUCCAAACUCUGUAUCUAACUAAUCUGAUGGGGAUGUGGAGAACCUUUGUAUCUAGCUCAGGGAUUGUAAACGCACCAAUCAGUGCCCUGACAAAACAGGCCACUGGGCUCUACCAAUCAGCAGGAUGUGGGUGGGGCCAGAUAAGAGAAUAAAAGCAGGCUGCCUGAGCCAGCAGUGGCAACCUACUCCAGUCCCCUUUCACACUGUGGAAGCUUUGUUUUCUUGCUCUUUGCAAUAAAUCUUGCUACUGUUCACUCUUUGGGUCCACGCUGCUUUUAUGAGCUGUAACACUCCCCGUGGAGAUCUGCAGCUUCACUCCUGAGCCCAGCAAGACCACAAGCCUACUGGGAGGAAUGAACAACUCCAGACGUGCUACCUUAAGAGCUGUAACACUCACUGUGAAGGUCUGCAGCUUCACUCCAGAGCCAGCGAGACCACAAACCCACCAGAAGGAAGAAACUCCAAACACAUCUGAACAUCAGAAGGGACAGACUCCAAACACGCCACCUUAAGAGCUGUAACACUCACUGCGAGGGUCUGCGGCUUCAUUGUUGGAGUCAGGGAGACCAAAAACCCACCAAUUCCGGACACAAAAUGAUCUUCUCACCUCAGCCUCCCAAGUAGCUGGUACCCAGGUGUGUGCCACUCAGAGGUGACAGCAUGCUGGCAGUCCUCACAGCCCUCAUUCGCUCUUGGUGCCUCCUCUGCCUGGGCUCCCACUGUGGCGGCACUUGAGGAGCCCUUGAGCCCACCACUGCCCUGUGGGAUCCCCUUUCUGGGCUGGCCAAGGCCAGAGCCGGCUCCCCAACGUGGAAGGAGGUGUGGAGGGAGAGGCACCAGUGGGAACCGGGGCUGCACGCAGCGUUUGCAGGCCAGCUGGAGUUCCGGGUGGGCGUGGGCUUGGCGGGCCCCGCACUCGGAGCAGACGGCUGGCCCGGCCGGCCCCGGGCAAUGAGGGGCUUAGCACCUGGGCCAGCGGCUGGGGAGGGUGUACUGGGGCCCCCAGCAGUGCCAGCCCACUGGCGCUGCGCUCAAUUUCUCACCAGGGCUGAGCUGCCUUCCCGUGGGGCAGGGCUUGGGACCUGCAGCCCGCCGUGCCUGAGCCUCCCACCCCCUCCGUGGGCUCCUGUGCAGCCCGAGCCUCCCCGAUGAGUGCUGUCCCCUGCUCUACUGCGGCCAGUCCCAUUGACCACCCAAGGGCUGAGGAGUGCGGGCGCAUGGCGCAGGACUGGCAUGCAGCUGCACCUGCAGUCCCGGUGCAGAAUCCAGUGGGUGAAGCCAGCUGGGUUUCUGAGUCUGGUGGGGACGUGGAGAACCUUUAUGUCUAGCUAAGAAAUUGUAAAUACACCAAUCGGCACUCUGUAUCCAGCUUAAGGUUUGUAAACACACCAAUCAGCACCCUGUGUCUAGCUCAGGGUUUGUGACUGCACCCAUCAACACUCUGUAUCUAGCUACUCUGGUGGGGCCUUGGAGAACCUUUAUGUCUAGCUCAAGGUUUGUAAACACACCAAUCAGCACCCUGUGUCUAGCUCAGGGUUUGUGAAUGCACCAAUCGACACUCUGUAUCUAGCUACUCUGGUGGGGACUUGGAGAAUCUCUGUGUCCACACUUUGUAUCUAGCUAAUCUGGUGGGGACGUGGAGAACCUUUGUGUCUAGCUCAGGGAUUGUAAACGCACCAAUCAGUGCCCUGUCAAAACAGACCACUCGGCUCUACCAAUCAGCAGGAUGUGGGUGGGGCAGAUAAGAGAAUAAAAGCAGGCUGCCCGAGCCAGCAGUGGCAACCCGCUCGGGUCCCCUUCCACACUGUGGAAGCUUUGUUCUUUCGCUCUUUGCGAUAAAUCCUGCUGCUGCUCACUCUUUUGGUCCACACUGCCUUUAUGAGCUGUAACACUCACCACGAAGGUCUGCAGCUUCACUCCUGCCUGAGCCAGCAAGACCACGAACCCACCAGAAGGAAGAAACUCCGAACACAUCCGAACAUCAGAAGGAACAAACUCCAGACGCGCCACCUUAAGAGCUGUAAUAGUCACCGCGAGGGUCCGCGGCUUCGUUCUUGAAGUCAGUGAGACCAAGAACCCACCAAUUCCGGACACACCACCACUCCCGGCUAUUUUUGUGUGUGGGUAUUUUUAGUAGAGGCAGGGUUUUGCCAUGCUGCCCAGGUUGGUCUUGAACUCCUGACUCAAGCAAUCCACCCAUGUCAGCCUCCCAAAGUGUUGGGAUUACAGGAGUGAGCCACUGCGCCCAGCCUCUUUUAAUAUCUGUAUAGUUUCAUGUAUUACACUUGGAUCCUUGAUCCAUUUAGAGUUAAUUCCUGUGUGUGGUGUACAGAUUGGACCUCAUUUUAUAUUUUUCCAGAUAACUAGUCAGUAUACCCAGCACCUUUUACAAAUCUUUGUCCCAGUAACAUAUAUUUAUUCUUUAAAAAUUCUGGUGAUAAAUACAAGUUUAAGGAAGAAAAAAAUCACAAACAAAUCCUACCCAGAGAUAACCGCAAAUUAUGUUUUGGUAGACUGCUCUGGUUUAAAUAUUUGACCCCUCUGAAACUCAUGUUGAAACGUACUCCCCAAUGUAACAGUAUUAAGAGGUGAGGCUUUUAAGAGGUUAUUGGGUCAUGAGGGCUGUGCCCUCAUUAAUGGAUUAAUCCAUUCAUGGAUUCAUGGGUAAUCAUGGGACUGGGUCUGUUAUAAAAGCCAGUUUGGCAAGUUCUUGUCCUCUCACCAUGUGAUGCCCUCUGCCAUAUUAUGAUGCUGUAAGAAGUCCCUUACCAGAAGUGGUCCCUCAACCUUGGACAACCAGC
Molecule: long non-coding RNA, 3618 nt
Filed under: Homo sapiens (human)
Lineage: Eukaryota; Metazoa; Chordata; Mammalia; Primates; Hominidae
Description: non-protein coding lnc-PGRMC1-1:3
Source: RNAcentral